RNAcentral lists this ribosomal RNA (520 nucleotides) under uncultured Glomus. Its description in RNAcentral is "SSU rRNA". It matches the Rfam family "Eukaryotic small subunit ribosomal RNA", at positions 569 to 1091 of the family's 1831-position model. The record is from RNAcentral. Lineage: Eukaryota; Fungi; Glomeromycota; Glomeromycetes; Glomerales; Glomeraceae.
AGCAGCCGCGGUAAUUCCAGCUCCAAUAGCGUAUAUUAAAGUUGUUGCAGUUAAAAAGCUCGUAGUUGAAUUUCGGGGUCAGUAGAUUGGUCGUGCCACUGGUAUGUACUGGUCUUACUGGCUCCUCCUUCCUGAUGAACCGUAAUGCCAUUAAUUUGGUGUUGCGGGGAGACUGGACUGUUACUUUGAAAAAAUUAGAGUGUUUAAAGCAGGCUAACGCUUGAAUACAUUAGCAUGGAAUAAUGAAAUAGGACGUUCGAUCUUAUUUUGUUGGUUUCUAGGAUUGACGUAAUGAUUAAUAGGGAUAGUUGGGGGCAUUAGUAUUCAAUUGUCAGAGGUGAAAUUCUUGGAUUUAUUGAAGACUAACUACUGCGAAAGCAUUUGCCAAGGAUGUUUUCAUUAAUCAAGAACGAAAGUUAGGGGAUCGAAGACGAUCAGAUACCGUCGUAGUCUUAACCAUAAACUAUGCCGACUAGGGAUCGGAUGAUGUUAAUUUUUAAUGACUCAUUCGGCGCCUUAA